Molecule: non-coding RNA, 863 nt
Organism: Podarcis raffonei (Aeolian wall lizard)
Lineage: Eukaryota; Metazoa; Chordata; Lepidosauria; Squamata; Lacertidae
Source: the annotation of a RefSeq genome assembly
AUGUGUCUCAAAGCUCAAGUUGGGAAAAUGCUGCUUUUAUUUCCAAUUGUUUUCCUUUCAACCAUCUUUGGGGGUGUCCAAUCAGAGGUUCGGCUGGAGGAGUCUGGAGGAGAUGCCAAAAAGCCUAGCGAGUCUCUCCGUCUCUCCUGUCAAGCCUCUGGGUACACCUUUAGCAGCUACUGGAUGAGCUGGGUAAGACAGGCUCCCGGGAAGGGUCUGGAAUAUGUGGCAGAAAUAAAUCCAGAGUCCACUACCUUUCGCUACGGGGAUAAAGUGAAGGGACGAUUCACCAUCUCCAGGGACAAUUCAAACAGUUUGUUGUAUCUGCAAAUGAACAACCUGAAGCCCGAGGACACGGCUCUGUAUUACUGUACAAGAGCACACAGUGAGAGGAAGUGAAUCUGAAGCCUGGCAAAAACCCUCCUUCACUCAUGGCUGCUAAAUUUAUUAAGCUGCAAGAGACUAAAGAGAUUGAUUCCGGUCGCUGGGACAAUAGUUUGAUCUUGUGUUACCAUUCAGAGAUAGACAGAAAUCCAUCUCUACAGCGGUAAAUGUGUGGGCUCUCUCUAGACAUGUUAUAAUACAUACAUAGCUAGGUCAGGGGCAAAGCCUGCCAUUAUAAUGCUGCUCUUAAUUCAGAUUGUGAUUGUUUCAGAUAUGAACGGGAUCCAGAAAAACGAUUCUCACCUUUCCUCUCUCUUUGUCUCUCUAUUCAUGAGCUACCAAACUACACUUGCUUUUCACACAGAGAGAGUAAUUGCUAGUUCCCUGCAGGAUAGAUUUAUUCCCCAUUCAGAAAAUCUCAUAUUAAAUGUAAUUGAAAAGACUUUACACCCUGAAAAAGAGACAAUGAAUGUACUUUU